GAUGAAGAACGUAGCGAAAUGCGAUAAGUAAUGUGAAUUGCAGAAUUCCGUGAAUCAUCGAAUCUUUGAACGCACAUUGCGCCCCCUGGCAUUCCGGGGGGCAUGCCUGUCCGAGCGUCAUUUCUGCCCUCCAGCCCGGCUGGGUGUUGGGCGCUGUCCCCCCGGGGACACGCCCCAAAGGCAGUGGCGGCGCCGCGUCGGGUCCUCGAGCGUAUGGGGCUUUGUCACCCGCUCGGGACGGACUCGUCGGCGCUGGUCUUCCUCCAGGCGACCCUUCGGGGCUCGUCUUCCUUCGGUUGACCUCGGAUCAGGUAGGGUUACCCGCUGAACUUAAGCAUAUCAAUAAGGGAGGA
This 353-nucleotide unclassified non-coding RNA is filed under the name soil metagenome. RNAcentral's name for it is "partial contains 5.8S ribosomal RNA, internal transcribed spacer 2, and large subunit ribosomal RNA". The stretch from base 1 to 120 matches the Rfam family "5.8S ribosomal RNA", at positions 35 to 154 of the family's 154-position model. The record is from RNAcentral.